Molecule: long non-coding RNA, 4725 nt
Organism: Pecten maximus
Lineage: Eukaryota; Metazoa; Mollusca; Bivalvia; Pectinida; Pectinidae
Exons: 2
Source: RefSeq, a predicted model, not a curated record
ACAAGGACAGUCGUUAGGUCCCCUACCUAAGUCAGCACCAGUCGUCGACAGAUAUCACACUGACAACAAGGACAUAGUCGUUAGGUCCCCUACCUAAGUCAGCACCAGUCGUCGACAGACAUCAGACUGACAACAAGGACAGUCGUUAGGUCCCCUACCUAAGUCAGCACCAGUCGUCGACUGACAUCACACUGACAACAAGGACAUAGUCGUUAGGUCCCCUAUCUAAGUCAGCACCAGUCGUCGACAGACAUCACACUGACAACAAGGACAGUCGUUAGGUCCCCUACCUAAGUCAGCACCAGCCGUAGACAGACAUCACACUGACAACAAGGACAGUCGUUAGGUCCCCUACCUAAGUCAGCACCAGUCGUCGACAGACAUCACACUGACAACAAGGUAUAGUUGUUAGAUCCCCUACCUAAGUCAGCACCAGUCGUCGACAGACAUCACACUGACAACAAGGACAUAGUCGUUAGGUCCCCUACCUAAGUCAGCACCAGUCGUCGACUGACAUCAGACUGACAACAAGGAGAUAGUCGUUAGGUCCCCUACCUAAGUCAGCACCAGUCACCGACAGACAUCACACUGACAACAAGGACAGUAGUUAGGUCCCCUACCUAAGUCAGCACCAGUCAUCGACAGACAUCAGACUGACGACAAGGACAGUCGUUAGGUCCCCUACCUAAGUCAGCACCAGUCGUCGACAGACAUCACACUGACAACAAGGACAUAGUCGUUAGGUCCCCUACCUAAGUCAGCACCAGUCGUCGACAGACAUCAGACUGACAACAAGGACAGUCGUUAGGUCCCCUACCUAAGUCAGCACCAGUCACCGACAGACAUCACACUGACAACAAGGACAGUCGUUAGGUCCCCUACCUAAGUCAGAACCAGUCACUGACAGACAUCACACUGACAACAAGAACAUAGUCGUUAGGUCCCCUACCUAAGUCAGUACCAGUCGUCGACAGACAUCACACUGACAACAAGGACGGUCGUUAGGUCCCCUACCUAAGUCAGCACCAGUCGUCGACAGACAUCAGACUGACAACAAGGACAUAGUCGUUAGGUCCCCUACCUAAGUCAGCACCAGUCACCGACAGACAUCACACUGACAACAAGGACAGUCGUUAGGUCCCCUACCUAAGUCAGCACCAGUCGUCGACAGACAUCACACUGACAACAAGGACAGUCGUUAGGUCCCCUACCUAAGUCAGCACCAGUCACCGACAGACAUCACACUGACAACAAGGACAGUUGUUAGGUCCCCUACCUAAGUCAGCACCAGUCGUCGACAGACAUCACACUGACAACAAGGACAUAGUCGUUAGGUCCCCUACCUAAGUCAGCACCAGUCGUCGACAGACAUCACACUGACAACAAGGACAUAGUCGUUAGGUCCCCUACCUAAGUCAGCACCAGUCGUCCACAGACAUCACACUGACAACAAGGACAUAGUCGUUAGGUCCCCUACCUAAGUCAGCACCAGUCGUCGACAGACAUCACACUGACAACAAGGACAUAGUCGUUAGGUCCCCUACCUAAGUCAGCACCAGUCGUCGACAGACAUCACACUGACAACAAGGACAGUAGUUAGGUCCCCUAUCUAAGUCAGCACCAGUCACCGACAGACAUCACACUGACAACAAGGACAUAGUCGUUAGGUCCCCUACCUAAGUCAGCACCAGUCGUCGACAGACAUCACACUGACAACAAGGACACAGUCGUUAGGUCCCCUACCUAAGUCAGCACCAGUCACUGACAGACAUCACACUGACAACAAGGACAGUCGUUAGGUCCCCUACCUAAGUCAGCACCAGUCAUCGACAGACAUCACACUGACAACAAGGACACAGUCGUUAGGUCCCCUACCUAAGUCAGCACCAGUCGUCGACAGACAUCACACUGACAACAAGGACAGUCGUUAGGUCCCCUACCUAAGUCAGCACCAGUCACCGACAGACAUCACACUGACAACAAGGACAUGGUCGUUAGGUCCCCUAUCUAAGUCAGCACCAGUCGUCGACAGACAUCACACUGACAACAAGGACAUAGUCGUUAGGUCCCCUACCUAAGUCAGCACCAGUCACCGACAGACAUCACACUGACAACAAGGACAUAGUCGUUAGGUCCCCUACCUAAGUCAGCACCAGUCGUCGACAGACAUCACACUGACAACAAGGACAGUCGUUAGGUCCCCUAUCUAAGUAUUUGAAAUAGCAGCAUUCUGCUAAAUAAUGAUUGUGCUUUUUGGAGUUUCUGUAUAGGGCAGGUAUUGUCUUUGUCAAUUCAUUAUUGUGUUAAUCUAGCCAUUUAAUUUGGUAAUGCGCUAAAUGUUGAGUACAACAGCGAUACAUUUAGAGUAUUCCGCGCCAAGCUUUGCUGGGUGGGGGAUAAGGAAAUGCAGAAAUCAGUGAUUUUGACUUUGUUUUUAUAAAAAGAACACAAAAUGUAUGUGAUUUGUCAAAUACAUUUAAUUUCAUACAUCUUAACAUAAACAUGUAUUAUACAAUAAAUGCAACCGACACAAAGGCUAAAAAUUGAUUGCAUACACAUGUACAAUUAGUUUUUCUACUAAAGCUUGUGAUAUUUUGGCAACACAUUUGGAAUAUAAGGUAAUUUCAAAUACGAGCUAAAAUAAUACUGGACUGCAUGCUACAAUAUCAAAUGUAAUAAAAACCAAUUUAUUACAUGUUUAACAUGGUAACAUACUAACUGUUAUGAUCAGAUGGCACAGUGAAGUUUUUGUCUCAAUAAUAUUACCUGAACUUUCUAUAUAACUAGUCGUGUUUUUAUUCCAGUUGUAUGUAAUUUGCUGAUAUACAUAUGUAAAGUUUGAAGUAGGGGGGUUACAAACUUCAAAACUUUUAUUUUUAAACAGGGAAAGAUUGUCAAUAAUCCAUUUAAUUUUUUUUCUUCUUACUUUAAUUUUUCCUGAAAUCUCCAAAUUCCAGACAAUUACAUGAGGAACUGAGAUUUCUAGAUUAGCAUUUGUCCGAUAUAUCCAAGACUCAAAAUUGUUAUAUAUAACAUACAAUGGUCACUGCUUAUGGUAUUCAUAUAUAAGUUUGUACUGAACCUACAAGUAUCCAUUUAUAUUAUAUCAUUUAUAUUCAAUUAAGUUUACUUUCAUACACCUAUCCAUGAAAGCUUUUUUCCACGAAAAAAAAAAAUUCUGCCUUCGGUAUUUAUAGUUAGUAUGGAACCCACAAAAAUACAAACUAAUAAAAUCUUACUUAGGCCUGUUCAAUGGACAGGGAUAUCUCAACCCUGUAUAUAGUGCAAGAGUUCGACUGGUCAGCACUUGGCAAUAUCUCAACCUUUGAAUAAGAGUUCGGCUGGUCAGCACUUGGCAUUAAUAUCUCAACCCUUGAAUAAGAGUUCGGCUGGUCAGCACUUGGCAAUAUCUCAACCUUUAAAUAAAAGUUUGGCUGGCCAGAACUUGGCAAUAUCUCAACCCUUGAAUAAGAGUUCGGCUGGCUUGUUGAAUGGCGGCCAGCGAAAGUCUUACAAGAGGGUUGAAAUAUACCUGUCCACAGUACAGACUAGCGUUUGAUUAUUUUUCUCACAUACUUUAAAAAAGGUAACAAACUGUAAGGUGUUGGUUAAUGUUUUCAUCUCUUCAUUAUAAAAUGAAAUGAGCAUUGAAAUCGAUGACAUAAUCAAAUUGCGACAUGGUUAGCUACAUAAAAUGAUAAUGUUAUGCUAUUGCGAGUGGCAUCAUAGCACAUGCCAGUUGUCUUUCCCUUCCCAUGGGAGAUUGCUUUAUCCCAUCCAUAGCAACCAGAGGAUCACCCUGUGAAGUAUGUGAGAAAUAUACAUCAAGUUUAGUAAAUACCAUUUAUAUCUAAUUAAUUUUAGUUUUACCGUCAUAUCUAUGGAAACUUGUUCCACAAAAAUUCAAACCAUUUAAGACAGUAACCACAAAAAAUGUAUAUUUGUACCACAUGGAGUUUAUAUCCUCAAAGUAUGCAGAAAAAUACUGCCCGAUCUAAACCUCCAGACCAGAAGAUAACACAGAUACCAGCGAUACCACCAGGAUAAUCCUGACACUUGUGGACUGUUAAACAUUGAUUCUUACAUCAUCUGUAAGAAACAACAGUAAAGUUGCAGUCAUUCCACCGGGAAACACCAAACAGUACAGAAACUGUAGGCAUUGUAAUUGACUGUAACCACCUGGAAGAUACCACUGUCUCUAGCACUGUAGUGGAGUCAUUCAAGCUCGCCCUUGUAAUUAUUAGUCACCCCUGAUAAAGUCACUCUCCCUCCAUCAUAUUAUAGCUUAGCUGGAAAUCUAUGACGUCUAGAUACAUAUGUAAUUUUAUACCUGGUUAGAUAGUAGAUAUUUCUGGUUAUGCCAGUCAGACAAAAUCUUAACAUGUACAACUGUUUAUAAAAAUGUAUGUACACAGUCCUUCUGUUCAAUUUGUGGCACUUUAGUUUUGACAACAGUGUAAAUAUGACAAUAUGAAGAAACUAUAAACAGUUUGGCAGGUGAAAAUAUGGUGAAUAUAAUCGUGCAACCUUGUUAGUGUGACCUUGGCCACUUAAGUACUAAUGUUUUAUAGUAGCGAAGGUCAAAUGUUUGGCAAAAUCUCUUUAAAAUACGCAAGGUCAAAGGGUGACAACUUUGUUAAACAUUAUACACAAGUCAUAAUUAUAUAAAUUUUUCGACAGGUUUACAUGGCUAAUAAUAGAACAUCGGGAAUUUCUACAUUAUGA